Molecule: long non-coding RNA, 1705 nt
Filed under: Ursus maritimus (polar bear)
Lineage: Eukaryota; Metazoa; Chordata; Mammalia; Carnivora; Ursidae
Description: lncRNA (ENSUMAG00000011449.1)
Source: RNAcentral
CUGGACAUCACCCUGAAGCUUCAGUUUUCCCAUCUGUGAAAUGGGGCAAACAAUAGCUCCGACCUUACAGGGUUGCCAGGAUUGAAUGAGACAUGACAUGGAAAAUGCUGAAGUGCUUACUUAGCACCGUGCCUUCCCCACCGCCCGUGUUAAUCAAAGAGCAGCAAGAACCAGGACACCGCUGCAAACACCACUGCAGUCUUAGCAGCUCGAACCGUCGGGUGUCUUCUCUGCCAGCAACAUGGUGACUCACCGCCAGGCCCCAAUCAGUCUGUUAUUUCUUAUCUACCACGGACUGCGGAGCUAGAAGAUUCAACCACGACCCGAACCACAUGUUUAUAUGCUCAAUUAGGAUCUAUAUACCUUCAAAUGAGCGGUUGAAUGUACAGCUGUGUGAGUGCUUUAUCGGAUCUGCAGAAACUUCUCCCCACCCAAGAACACAAUCUGUAUUUUGAAGGGUUGAAUACAUCAUAAAUCAGCCAUCCAGGGUCUAGACAGUUUUGUCUGCCGUAGGUUGUCUGGAGCAGGAAGGGUGGAGCUUGGAGGAGCUGCCUGGUGGUCCCAGGGGAGCUGCUGGCAGAAGGACCGUAGGCAGCAGGCAGCACUGGCCCCGGGGUCCUGGCUGACGCUUGGAAGCUGGACAGGGAGCGCAGCACUGCGAGCAGUAGCUCCUGGCUUUCCAGACCAUGACCCCCCUGUUCCGGUGUCCUCGUGGUGGGCAGCGGCUGCCGUGCCCCGGCAAGGCCAGGCAGAGGCCCCCAGCACCCUGCUCUCUGCUAGUCUCUGUGGACUCACAGGUGGGCAGUGGGGGAAUGUUCCAUCCUUAAGUGGUCUAACCCUUUGGGAUCGGAAUGCCACUUCUGGGCACAGGGUGGCUCGGGAACCAGUGGUGCUUGAAUCUCCCUGUAAAGCAGCCCUAAAGGGCGGGUGUGGGGGGGCAGAGCCUGGAGCAGGGCUUUCUGCGGGGAGCGUGGACGCCGACAGAGCUGGCGAGUUCCCAGGGGUCUGUGGGUGUGGGUGGUCUUCUGCAUCUCACUCAGUCUGCCAGUGACCCGCACGCGUUAUCGGGCCGAAUGCGAAGCUGUGGAUGGUCUUCCUGACCUGCACGCUCAGUUCUUGUACUCAGACACCUGCUGCGGCCAAGAGCCCGGGAGUGAUGGUUCCGGACUGGUGCCAACAUCCUUCUGCCUCCCCUCGACCUGAACCACCAUCCUGUCCCUGAUAGCGAACCCUGUCCCCACCCCGCCCAGGAGGAAACAGCUCCUCUGCCCUUUUAUCCGUCUCUUUCUCUCUCCAUCCUCCCCUUCCUUUUCUUUCUUUUUUUUUUUUUUAAAGGUUUUAUUUAUUUAUUUGACAGAGAUAGAGACAGCCAGCGAGAGAGGGAACACAAGCAGGGGGAGUGGGAGAGGAAGAAGCAGGCUCCCAGCAGAGGAGCCUGAUGUGGGGCUCGAUCCCGGAACUCCAGGAUCACGCCCUGAGCCGAAGGCAGACGCCCAACCGCUGUGCCACCCAGGCGCCCCUCCCCUUCCUUUUCUAAACCUCAAAUAGGAGGAACAACUCACUCCAUACCCACCAUUCUCAGGGAGGCUCACUGCAUUGAUUCCAGGGUGAUUUUCUGAGCUAGCCUAUAUUUUGAAAUAUCUGGCACUUGUCUCCUAAGGAACAGAAAAGGAAAAGAAAAUACAAAUUAAAUCUCCAGGACAUG